This 293-nucleotide long non-coding RNA is filed under the name Homo sapiens (human). Its description in RNAcentral is "non-protein coding lnc-KCNJ14-3:1". Lineage: Eukaryota; Metazoa; Chordata; Mammalia; Primates; Hominidae. The record is from RNAcentral.
GCAGGACUGUGGGCCAGUGCCAGAGCCAGGCUUGUCUGUUCUCAAAGGAUCAGCCUCCUUUGGAGGACAUUUUGUGUCAAGGAUAGGGCUGAGGACCUGCGUUCUGAACGUCUUUCCUGGGAUUCUUGACAGCCAAAGAAAUUCGAGGAUCGCCUCUAUGAAGGUGCCAGGGAAACGGAGUCAUCGACCCAAGAAGGUCGUGGGAGAUGAGGUCCCAGGGUAAACAGCGGGUCCCGCCACUAUGUCACCCUUUCCUGCCGCCUCCCCGGAUGAACUGCAUGCAGGGCGGCCGG